Erythranthe guttata (spotted monkey flower) is the source of this 2020-nucleotide non-coding RNA. The record is from RefSeq and is a predicted model, not a curated record. NCBI's taxonomy places the organism in Eukaryota, Viridiplantae, Streptophyta, Magnoliopsida, Lamiales, Phrymaceae.
UUCGCGUUUUUUUUUGGUUCGUUUGAUGAAAAUUUGAAAAUAAAUAAAACCACCCAUGGUAUAAGAAACUAAAAACAUGACCGCACUAACUCGAAAAAAGAGAAAAAAAUCCACACACGUUCACGCAUAAAUACACGAUCGUCUGAUAACUUCCCUAUGUGAGCCAAUCGGUAAAAGAAAAAACCGAAAAAUAGCAUAUUUCUGCCCCUUUUGAUUUUAUAGAAUCGGAUAUAUAUAUAAAAAAAAAAGAAUUUUAUAGAAUCGGCGGAAGGGGCCGAAACGCAACUCUCAAAUCCUCCGUCCGACAAUACCUUCUUCUCAAAAGAUUAUCGUAUUUUCAGGUAAAUUAGUAUCCUCUUAGGUAAAUUUGCAUUUUGAUUGUUUGAUCCACGGAAAUUGAGUGUGGCUUUUUUCUUUUUUUUGGUUAAAAAAAAUUGUUUUUAUGUUGUAAUUUCUUACCUGUGUCAAUUGGUAUUGCCUAUGUUUUCUAUUAGUCACGAUAAAUUAUUGUUAGUUGUGAUGAUUUGCUAUUAAAGGUUUAAACUUUCAUGUCUUUGAUUUGUUGAAGAUUGAUAACUCAGAGUUUGCAGUGGUAGUGCUCAAAUGAAACUAAUGAUUUGUUCUGAUUCAAAUUAUUCAUUAUAGAAAUUAGUGUUGUACACUCUACAUUCUUACAACCUAUUUGUUGUUUAAUUUGUUAAUGGAUUUUAGUUUCUCUGUGGACGACAAAGAUUUGGCAUCAAUCGGCUACAUUAAACUUAAGUCUUCACAGAACGUAAAAGAACCUCCAGAAUGAUGACGAUUUGAUGAUUUAUCUGCCAUUCUCCUCUUUCUUAUGCACGGAAAUCUAUACACAGUGCAUUAGGGAACCCCCAAAGUUCCAUAUUCUUAAUUCCUUUACAGCCAAAUUUGUGUAUGAUCAAACAACAGCGAUUAAGAACGGCUCCGGAAACAAUUUUCUAGACGGUUUAAUAAGAGGUUAUUGAUGACUGUAGAAAAUAGCAUGCCUUCUUAGCAAUUUAACUGAAAUUUUUGUUUCGCGCGUUCUAAAUAUUCAAAAAAAUUGCAGCACAAAUUUUGUACCAGCAAACAUAAGAGGUUAAAGAGAGCUCCUGAAGCAAUUUAGUGUGCAGGUAAACAGAGGUUAAGGAUGUCUAUAUAUCUCUGUUGCUUUUGGUGAAUUUCAUAUAUUGUAGAAAGAUUGAUGUUUUGGAAUUGUGUUUGUUUUCUUACAUAUAUUGUUGAAUUGUUUUAGUUCCAGUUAUAUGAUUCCCCAGUGCCUCAUAUACUACAAACUCUCAGACUGACCAAGAAACUCAAUUUUCCGAAUUAGGAAAAAUAUAUAUUUUUUCCUUCUCUUUAUUGUGAUAAUAAGCUACCUGAGGUUCUAUGUUUUUUCAUUUCCGUUCUAUACUUAUUAUCGAUUGGACAAUAUUACAAAUAAUUAAAGUAUUUGCACUUAUGUUUCCCGAAAUUGAAAAUUGAUACUGAUGAAUUCUCUUUAAACUACACUUUUGCAGAACUUGGUCAUUUUUCGUUAUUCUCGGACGAAGAUGAAUGACAAAGAGAGAAACACGAUAAGAAGAACCUUAACUUGCAUAAUUGAUAGGAGGUACUCACUAUUUCAAUUGAAUUUAUAUUACAACACUUAAUGUUUAAUGUUAUGGAGUUCAUUUAUUUUAUAGGUUUGUGGUUAUUUUUCAGACAAAAAUUGUGACGAGAAGAUGUUUAAUCUGUCGAUUAAUACACAAAUUAGCUGAUUGAAUGAAGAAUGGACUAACAUCCUCAUCCAUCAGAAGAUUGAUAGUUACUCUUCCAAUAUGCAAGUCUGUAUAUAAUGUGUAUAAUAUUUUUCAAAUUUGUAUGUAGUACAGUAGCCGUAUAAUAUUUUGCAAGUUUGUAUAUAAUGUGUACCGUGUCUGUAUCUGCCUUUUUUUUUCCCUUUUUAAAUGUAUGUAUAACCAGUGUAAUGUAUCAAAGCAGUUUGUAUAUAAAAUGUUUCAUUUUUUCUCCUUGAUGA